ACUUUCAAAGGACAGAAGUAAUCCU
This 25-nucleotide transfer RNA is filed under the name Pelusios castaneus (West African mud turtle). RNAcentral's name for it is "partial transfer RNA-Leu". The record is from RNAcentral. Lineage: Eukaryota; Metazoa; Chordata; Testudines; Pelomedusidae.